CUCGUAGGCGGUUUGUCGCGUCGGGAGUGAAAACCUCGGGCUUAACUCGGGGCUUGCUUUCGAUACGGGCAGACUGGAGGUAUGCAGGGGAGAACGGAAUUCCUGGUGUAGCGGUGAAAUGCGCAGAUAUCAGGAGGAACACCGGUGGCGAAGGCGGUUCUCAGGGCAUGACCUGACGCUGAGGAGCGAAAGUGUGGGGAGCGAACA
Molecule: ribosomal RNA, 207 nt
Filed under: uncultured bacterium
Lineage: Bacteria
Description: partial 16S ribosomal RNA
Rfam family: Bacterial small subunit ribosomal RNA
Source: RNAcentral